AGUUCGAUCAUGGCUCAGAUUGAACGCUGGCGGGAUGCUUUACACAUGCAAGUCGAACGGCAGCACGGCCUCGGUCUGCGGCGAGUGGCGAACGGGUGAGUAAUGUAUCGGAACGUGCCUAGUAGCGGGGAUAACUACGCGAAAGCGUAGCUAAUACCGCAUACGCCCUUCGGGGGAAAGCGGGGGGACCUUCGGGCCUCGCACUAUUAGAGCGGCCGAUAUCGGAUUAGCUAGUUGGUGGGGUAACGGCUCACCAAGGCGACGAUCCGUGUAGCUGGUUUGAGAGGACGACCAGCCACACUGGGACUGAGACACGGCCCAGACUCCUACGGGAGGCAGCAGUGGGGGAAUUUUGACAAUGGGGAAACUUCGAUCCAGCCAUCCCGCGUGUGCGAUGAAGGCCUUCGGGUUGUAAAGCACUUUGGCAGGAAAAACGGCACGGGAUAAUACCCCGUGCAACUGACGGUACCUGCAGAAUAAGCACUGGCUAACUACGUGCCAGCAGCCGCGGUAAUACGUAGGGUGCAAGCGUUAAUCGGAAUUACUGGGCGUAAAGCGUGCGCAGGCGGUUCGGAAAAGAAAGAUGAAACUUCAGAGCUUAACUUUGAACUGCAUUUUUAACUACCGAGCUAGAGUGUACUGAGGAGGUGGAAUCGGCGUGUAGCAGUGAAAAUGCGUAGAUAUGCGGAGGAACACCGAUGUGGCGAAGGCAGCUUCCUGAUAACACUGACGCCUCAUGCACGAAAGCGUGGGAGCAAACAGGAUUAGAUACCCUGGUAGUCCACGCCCUAAACGAUGUCACAACUAGCUGUUGGGGCCUUCGGGCCUUGGUAGCGCAGCUAACGCGUGAAGUUGACCGCCUGGGUAGCACGGUCAUUCGUGCAAGAUUAAAACUCAAAGGAAUUGACGGGGACCCGCACAAGCGGUGAUGAUGUAGAUUAAUUCGAUGCAACGCGAAAACCUUACCUACCCUUGACAUGUCUGGAACCUGUGGAAGAGAUUUGGGAGUGCUCGCAAGAGAACCCGGAACACAGGUGCUGCAUGGCUGUCGUCAGCUCGUGUCGUGAGAUGUUAAUGGAAACCCGCAACGAGCGCAACCCUUGUCAUUAGUUGCUGAAAGGGCACUCCUUAAUGAGACUGCCGGUGACAAACCGGAGGAAGGUGGGGAUGACGUCAAGUCCGCGGCCCUUAUGGGUAGGGCUUCACACGUCAUACAAUGGUCGGGACAGAGGGUCGCUAACCCGCGAGGGGGAGCCAAUCCCAGAAACCCGAUCGUAGUCCGAUCGCAGUCUGCAACUCGACUGCGUGAAGCCGGAAUCGCUAGGCAAUCUCCAGACCAGCAUGUCGCGGUGAAUACGUUCCCGGGUCUUGUACACACCGCCCGUCACACCAUGGGAGUGGGUUUUACCAGAAGUAGUUAGCCUAACCGUAAGGAGGGCGAUUACCACGGUAGGAUUCAUGACUGGGGUGAAGUUUGUAACAAGGUAG
RNAcentral lists this ribosomal RNA (1488 nucleotides) under uncultured Bordetella sp. Its description in RNAcentral is "partial 16S-23S ribosomal RNA intergenic spacer". It matches the Rfam family "Bacterial small subunit ribosomal RNA". The record is from RNAcentral. Lineage: Bacteria; Pseudomonadati; Pseudomonadota; Betaproteobacteria; Burkholderiales; Alcaligenaceae.